AUGCUAUGGUUGGGCGUCUUGGCUCCAAAAAUUCUUAUAUAUUAUAUAAAAAUUCCUCGCAAAGUUUCGUUGCAUUCCGAGAACUUUUAUUUCUGCACAAAAACAACACCAUGCUAUGAACCACAUUCUGUGCUGCCAAUCGGCGUGACGACUUUGGCUAAUCAUGUCAGGUUUAUGCCUCUGCCUAAGCUCAAAGUCCUUGCGAGCAGUGCGGUGUUCCACACCCCAUUCAUGAGGAAGAUAUGGACAUGGAUAGGACUGGUUGCUGCAAUGAGGAAGAAUUUCUACUCCUGCCUUGCAGCUGCUUACAGUUGCGUUGUAGUGCCUGGAGGCAUACAGGAGAUUCUUCAUACAGAUCAUGAUUCCGAGGUUGCUUUCCUUAAUUCAAGAAAACGGUUUGUCAAGAUAGAUAUGCAUGUUGGCUGCCCUUUAGUCCUUGUUGUCUACUUCAGACAGAGCAAAGCUUACAGAUGGUGGAGGCCAGGAGGCAAAUUGUUUGUGAACAUUGCUAUAGCACCUAAAUUUACUCCUAUUAUCUUCUGGGGAAGAUAUGGGACACCGAUCGCUUUCUCGACACCUAUGCAUCUGGUUGUUGGUAGACCCAUUGAGCUGAAGAAAAAUCCUCUACCUACCAUUGAUGAGAUAAAUGAAGUGCAUGGACAAUUCGUGGGCACCUUGCAAGAACUAUUUGAGAAAUACAAUAUGAAAGCCAGAUAUCCUAGCCUCCAUCUAAGAGUCCUGUAA
This 744-nucleotide ribosomal RNA is filed under the name Triticum aestivum (bread wheat). Its description in RNAcentral is "partial small subunit ribosomal RNA". The record is from RNAcentral. Lineage: Eukaryota; Viridiplantae; Streptophyta; Magnoliopsida; Poales; Poaceae.